Molecule: ribosomal RNA, 398 nt
Filed under: uncultured bacterium
Lineage: Bacteria
Description: bacterial SSU rRNA
Rfam family: Bacterial small subunit ribosomal RNA
Source: RNAcentral
AUAUUGCUCAAUGGGGGAAACCCUGAAGCAGCAACGCCGCGUGGAGGAUGAAGGUUUUCGGAUUGUAAACUCCUUUUCUAAGAGAAGAUUAUGACGGUAUCUUAGGAAUAAGCACCGGCUAACUACGUGCCAGCAGCCGCGGUAAUCCGGAGGGUGCAAGCGUUACUCGGAAUCACUGGGCGUAAAGAGCGCGUAGGCGGGAUAGCAAGUCAGAUGUGAAAUCCUAUGGCUUAACCAUAGAACUUCAUUUGAAACUGUUAUUCUAGAGUAUGGGAGAGGUAGGUGGAAUUCUUGGUGUAGGGGUAAAAUCCGUAGAGAUCAAGAGGAAUACUCAUUGCGAAGGCGACCUGCUGGAACAUAACUGACGCUGAUGCGCGAAAGCGUGGGGAGCAAACAGG